Molecule: long non-coding RNA, 723 nt
Filed under: Ornithorhynchus anatinus (platypus)
Lineage: Eukaryota; Metazoa; Chordata; Mammalia; Monotremata; Ornithorhynchidae
Description: lncRNA (ENSOANG00000038434.1)
Source: RNAcentral
CAUAUUCAGCCCCUUGAUUUGUCCGCAGAAAACUGGAACUGAUGUUUAUAAAUAGGGAAAUUCUAAGUGGCUCAAGUCCUUGAUUCAGUAUUGAUUGUGACAGGGGCCGAUCAAUCAGCCCGGUGGCCAGGGAAACGCCAGAACUUGUUCCAUCGAGAGCUUUGAGAGUACCUAUCAGAGAGAGGUCUUUGGAUGGCAACAGCGGGAACAAACUUGGCAGUGAGGUACAUUAACUCCAAAAGUUCAAAUUUUCAGGAAUGACGGCUGAGACGGGACACUCAUGCCCUCACUCCUAUGUAUUUACCCGCAUACGCGAAUGCAUGUUUUUAAAUGCUCUGUCAACUCUUUCAGCACGACAUUGCUGUCUUGCGUAGAGGAGCAGCACUGAUCCCCAGGCCCUGUGGUGACCCGACCCCUAGAUCGGGGAAGAGGAAGACCAGGCCAGGGGAGCCACCUCAGUCCCUCCAUCUUCUCCGCAGAGGAUUUGUGAACAGUCUUACUCACAUUUUCCAACUCUGGCUAAUGGGACCAUUUGGCAAAAUUCUUCAGUGGAAACAGAGGCAGCCGAUUUAGGAUUUCUGAAGCUCCUUUCUUCUCAAGAGCCCGGGGGCCUUGCCUAGGAUUUCACCAUGCAUUGAGGGAAGGUAAAUAUUUUUCAAAUCAUAAAAAGAGAAUUGGUUUAAAGACAGUGGCCAAGAAAAUAGUAAAGGAGCACAAGUACAG